AGCUAAAGUGCUUUUAUUCUGUUUAUGUUUUGAAAACACACUAAUAGGUGAUUUUGUAUGUAACAUGAUUAGCUGAACAUUUCUUUUUGUCAAAAUGUAGCUACUUCAGUCGCCUCAGUAUGUAUUUUGUAAAGGAUGAAAUGCUUAUGCUUAGUAUAAAUGCUUUUCUUUAUGCACUAGAAAUAUUAGCUUUGUUUUAGCUCUGUUGCCCCAUCGGGUAUCGGGAUGCCACAGUUGGCAUUAGAGUGCGAUUUCUCAAACAUCCUUUACGUCGAGGCUUAGGAAUUAGGAUAUAGUUAGAGAAAUUAAGG
RNAcentral lists this long non-coding RNA (311 nucleotides) under Carica papaya (papaya). RNAcentral's name for it is "long non-coding RNA (CPAP_LNC007028)". Lineage: Eukaryota; Viridiplantae; Streptophyta; Magnoliopsida; Brassicales; Caricaceae. The record is from RNAcentral.